This 90-nucleotide transfer RNA is filed under the name Microtetraspora sp. NBRC 16547. Its description in RNAcentral is "tRNA-Arg". Lineage: Bacteria; Bacillati; Actinomycetota; Actinomycetes; Streptosporangiales; Streptosporangiaceae. The record is from RNAcentral.
AUCCGGUACAGCCAGGCUCGCAACGUCGAGCGGCCUUCGAAGCCGCCGAGGUUCUUCCACGCACGCAGGAACGUCUCCUGCACCAGAUCC